GUGCUCACUUGGCAGCACACAUACUAAAAUUGGGACGAUAUAGAGAUUAGCAUGGCCCCUGCGCAAAGAUGGCAUGCAAAUUCGUGAAGCGUUCCAUAUUGUU
This is a small nuclear RNA of Arvicola amphibius (Eurasian water vole), 103 nucleotides long. NCBI's taxonomy places the organism in Eukaryota, Metazoa, Chordata, Mammalia, Rodentia, Cricetidae. The record is from RefSeq and is a predicted model, not a curated record.